This 1512-nucleotide ribosomal RNA is filed under the name uncultured Spirochaetota bacterium. RNAcentral describes it as "uncultured Spirochaetes bacterium partial 16S ribosomal RNA". It matches the Rfam family "Bacterial small subunit ribosomal RNA". The record is from RNAcentral. Lineage: Bacteria; Pseudomonadati; Spirochaetota.
UAGAGUUUGAUCCUGGCUCAGGACGAACGCUGACGGCGUGGAUUAGGCAUGCAAGUCGAACGAGAAAUUCCCGAUUCGUCGGGAAGAGUAUAGUGGCGAAUGGGUGAGUAACGGGUAGGUAUCUACCCAAUAGAUUGGGAUAGCCUCAGGAAACUGAGGGUAAUACCGGAUAAGCCCCAAUUAUCGGGGGAAAGAUGGCCUCUGUUUACAAGCUGUCACUAUUGGAUGAGCCUGCUUCAUGUUAGCUUGUUGGUGAGGUAAUGGCUCACCAAGGCAAUGAUGUGUAGCCGGCCUUAACGGGUGUUCGGUCACACUGGGAUUGAGAUACGGCCCAGACUCCUACGGGAGGCAGCAGUCGAGAAUCGUCUACAAUGGACGAAAGUCUGAUAGUGCAACGCCGUGUGUGCGAAGAAGCCCUUCGGGGUGUAAAGUACUUUUUUAUAAGAUAAAGCUUCAAUAGAUUAAUAGUUUAUAGAAGUUGAUACUAUUAUAAGAAUAAGCUCUGGCUAACUCCGUGCCAGCAGCUGCGGUAAUACGAAGGCGACAAGCGUUAUCCGGAUUUAUUGGGCGUAAAGAGUGUGUAGGCGGUUUAAUAAGUUUCUGGUUAAAGCCCUUUGCUUAACAUGGGGACUGCGAGAAAAACUAUUAAACUAGAGGCUGGGGGAGGCAAGUGGAAUUGCCGGUGUAGGGGUUAAAUCCGUUAAUAUCGGCAGGAACACCAAAUGCGAAGGCAGCUUGCUAGAACAGUCCUGACGCUGAGACACGAAAGCGUGGGGAGAGAAGAGGAUUAGAUACCCUCGUAUUCCACGCUGUAAACGAUGGAUGCUGGGUAUUGGAAGUGUCGACCCUUCCAGUAUCGUUAUAAAAAAGCUAACGCGUUAAGCAUCCCGCCUGGGAAGUACGGUCGCAAGACUAAAACUUAAAGGAAUAGACGGGACUCCGCACAAGCGGUGGAUCAUGUGGUUUAAUUCGACGCUAAGCGAAGAACCUUACCAGGGUUUGAAAUGUUAGGUUGUAGAUUGGCCGAAAGGUCAAUUGACCGUUAAACCGGAACCUAAUACAGGUGCUGCAUGGUUGUCGUCAGCUCGUGCCGUGAGGUGUACCGUUAAGUCGGGAAACGAGCGCAACCCCUACUGUUAGUUACUAACGAGUAAUGUCGAGGACUCUAGCAGGACUGCCGCAGAUGAUGCGGAGGAAGGUGGGGAUGACGUCAAAUCAGCAUGGCCCUUAUACUCUGGGCAACACACGUGAUACAAUGGCCGGUACAAAGGGUCGCAAAACCGAAAGGUGAAGCCAAUCCCAUCAAAACCGGUCUCAGUUCGAAUUGAGGGCUGAAAUUUGCCCUCAUGAAGUUGGAAUCGCUAGUAACCGUAUAUCAGCUAUGGUACGGUGAAUACGUUUCCGGAGUUUGUACUCACUGCCCGUCAAGCCAAGGGAGUCGGUAAUACCCGAAAACCUGCGUUCGUGGGGAUAAGGUAGGAUCGGUAACAGGGGCUAAGUCGUAACAAGGUA